AUCCACUUGACGAGUCACAAAUAGGACGAAAUGCGCAUCCUGGAU
This 45-nucleotide non-coding RNA is filed under the name Trichobilharzia regenti. The record is from RNAcentral. Lineage: Eukaryota; Metazoa; Platyhelminthes; Trematoda; Strigeidida; Schistosomatidae.